RNAcentral lists this ribosomal RNA (762 nucleotides) under uncultured bacterium. RNAcentral's name for it is "bacterial SSU rRNA". It matches the Rfam family "Bacterial small subunit ribosomal RNA", at positions 45 to 788 of the family's 1533-position model. The record is from RNAcentral.
CGUCUUGGUCAAUGAAGUUGAGUGCUUGCAUUUAACUGAUUUGACAUUAAGACGAGUGGCGAACUGGUGAGUAACACGUGGGUAACUUGCCCCGAGGCGGGGGAUAACAUUUGGAAACAGGUGCUAAUACCGCAUAACAACAAAAACCACAUGGUUUUUGUUUAAAAGAUGGUUUCGGCUAUCACUUUGGGAUGGACCCGCGGCGUAUUAGCUAGUUGGUGAGGUAAUGGCUCACCAAGGCAAUGAUACGUAGCCGACCUGAGAGGGUAAUCGGCCACAUUGGGACUGAGACACGGCCCAAACUCCUACGGGAGGCAGCAGUAGGAAAUCUUCCACAAUGGACGAAAGUCUGAUGGAGCAACGCCGCGUGAGUGAUGAAGGGUUUCGGCUCGUAAAACUCUGUUGUUGGAGAAGAACGGGUGUCAGAGUAACUGUUGACAUCGUGACGGUAUCCAACCAGAAAGCCACGGCUAACUACGUGCCAGCAGCCGCGGUAAUACGUAGGUGGCAAGCGUUGUCCGGAUUUAUUGGGCGUAAAGCGAGCGCAGGCGGUUUUUUAGGUCUGAUGUGAAAGCCUUCGGCUUAACCGGAGAAGUGCAUCGGAAACCGGGAGACUUGAGUGCAGAAGAGGACAGUGGAGCUCCAUGUGUAGCGGUGAAAUGCGUAGAUAUAUGGAAGAACACCAGUGGCGAAGGCGGCUGUCUGGUCUGCAACUGACGCUGAGGCUCGAAAGCAUGGGUAGCGAACAGGAUUAGAUACCCU